AUACGGAGGGUGCAAGCGUUAAUCGGAAUUACUGGGCGUAAAGCGUACGUAGGCGGUUAUUUAAGUCAGAUGUGAAAGCCCCGGGCUUAACUUGGGAACUGCAUUUGAAACUGGGUAACUAGAGUUUAGUAGAGGGGAGUGGAAUUUCAGGUGUAGCGGUGAAAUGCGUAGAGAUCUGAAGGAACACCAGUGGCGAAGGCGACUCCCUGGACUAAAACUGACGCUGAGGUACGAAAGCGUGGGUAGCAAACAGGAUUAGAUACCCGAGUAGUCC
RNAcentral lists this ribosomal RNA (274 nucleotides) under uncultured bacterium. Its description in RNAcentral is "partial 16S ribosomal RNA". It matches the Rfam family "Bacterial small subunit ribosomal RNA", at positions 523 to 796 of the family's 1533-position model. The record is from RNAcentral.